Long non-coding RNA from Dama dama (fallow deer), 275 nucleotides. RefSeq lists it as uncharacterized. The record is from RefSeq and is a predicted model, not a curated record. The transcript has 2 exons. Lineage: Eukaryota; Metazoa; Chordata; Mammalia; Artiodactyla; Cervidae.
UUUCCUUUGCUGUGUAAAAGUCAGACUCCACUAAGCAGCUGAACUGAACUAAACUUGCUGUGUGAAAUACUGCCGUCGGUCGUGCCCGACUCUUUGUGACCCCAUGGACUGCAUGCAGCACGUCAGGAGGCUUCCCUGUCCUUCACCAUCUGCCGGAGCUUGCUCAAACUCAUGUCCAUUGAGUCAGUGAUGCCAUCCAACCAUCUUGUCCUCUGUCAUCCCCUUCUCCUCCUGCCGUCAAUCUUUCGCAGCAUUGCAGGCUGUUUUACCCUCAA